RNAcentral lists this long non-coding RNA (4090 nucleotides) under Xyrichtys novacula (pearly razorfish). Lineage: Eukaryota; Metazoa; Chordata; Actinopteri; Labriformes; Labridae. The record is from RNAcentral.
GGGCUGUGGGCUUUGAGGUCUCACACUCAUAUAUAAAAUAUAACUCGGUGGAUUUUCUUUGAGAGCCACAAAAACAACAUAAAUAAAGUUAAAAAGAAACGACCCCGUCUCAUUGGCUCUCGGAUAGAGUUGAAUAUCUGCCUCAACCUGCUGCAUGGCUGCACAACAACACCUGUAACCUGAAACAAUCUCUGCUCAUCCUCUGCUGCCAGCCUGACAAGUCAGCUGAUUAAACACGAUGAUUCCCCAGAAUACAGACGACAGCAUGACACGGUCGAUCAUGUAACAGGCUCUAAAUCCAUUUAAAUAAACAGAUUUUGAAGUUUAAUCGGACUAAACUCUGCAGACAGACUGGCUGACUUCCUGCGCUUGUUUGUCUUUUUAUCACAGAGAGGAAAAUAAUAAUAAAUGUCCGGAACUCUGAGUCUGAGCCGUUAAUAUUUGAGAAACUGAAUCCAAAGCUUCAUGUCACACUCCGCCCGUGGAGCCUCAGCUGAAGCUCCGUCGUUAUUACAGGCUGUAAUCUGGCAUUCACACCUUUUCUCCUCAUUCAUUGAUGGUGCAUUUCUCCCCUGAUAAAGGCGCUGCGCCGCGAUGCGUUUCACAUCCAUCACAUCCAGAGCGCGGGGCGCAGCGUUCAGUCCUCCGUCUAUCAGCGGGAAAGUGCUCUCGCCUUGGGUGUGGGGAUAUGAGCUUCUCUGCUCAGUUAUCCCGGACAAAUCUGAUCUCCUCCUCCUCGCGGGAGCUCUGUAAGUGAGCGGCCCUUCUCCUUUUCUUUUUUUGGACGCGCCAUUUCUCUCCAAUUCGCACACAGAGGAAAGUUGGGACUUGAGACUUUCAGCACCACUUUUCCGUGGACAGCGCUCGCGAUGCUCUUGGAUGGAUCGACGCAGCCUCGAAAUGCGUGUGGAAAUUCCUUUUGGAUACUAUUGAGGAGAAACAAUGUUUAGAUGUGGGGUCUGAUCUGCUGAGGGAAAGCCUCCCUUCACGCACUGACGGAGCAAACAAGACACGGAUUCGCUUUGGAUAUGGGUCACUUCUUAUAAAAGGAUUCUUCGUGGGCUGGAGAUCGGGGUAAGUGUGCAACCACCCAAGCUGCAGAAAUGGGUCAUCUGAGGAAAUCAAUGUUUUAAAAUUACAUCGUGACUUAUAUAAGUAUGAAAGGGAAUUUCACGAGACACCGAAAACACAGAUCCACGAGAUCAAUCUCUGUUUCGGGUUGAACACUUGCCGUGAAAUUUGCACGUUUGAAAGCUGAUGAAUGUUGGAGGAAUAUAAGAUCCGUCACGUUCUGACAGAUUUGUUAAAGCUUUGAGUGCAACGCCCAGGACUGAAGGUGCAUUGAUUGUUUUUACGCGUUAAGGCGCAGCGUUUUUGUGUGCGUGUGUGUGUGUUUGCGUGUGUGUGGCUCGCUGCGCUGCAGAUCCGCCUGAAGUCUCAGAGAAAACCAUAAAAGAAUGACUCAACACCCAAACUGCUUGAGCUACAGGCUUCAUCCGUGAUUAGAGGUGUAGUUGUGGAGGCUCAGAGUAAAAAGUGAGGAUGAGUGUGAACGGCAGCAGCAGCAGGGGGGUGCAGCAGAGAGCUCCCCCACAUUUAUCUCAUCAUCUCCACCUCUCUCUGUCGGUGUCUCCCUCUCAGCCCUCAAACUAGUUGAGUCACGUAGGGGAGCACCCUGGCUGCUGGCUGGGUGGUGGUGGUGUUUUUGUGAGUCUGUGUGUUUGAUGGGGUGGGUGAAGGAGGGAGGAAAGGAGAGGAGAGGAGAGGAGAGGAGAGGAGAGGAGAGGAGCGCAUAGUGUGUAAACCAUCGAUUGUCAGUCAGUGUGCUGUGCAGAUGUGCAGCCUCCUGGCAGUGGCAGAGAGAUAGGAGACAAUUUUGAUGUGAGCCUGCUGCUGCAGCGUGUGUGUGCGUCUGUGUGUGUGUGUGUGUGUAUGUGUGUGUGUGUGUGUGUGUGUGUGUGUGUGUGUGUGUGUGUGUGUGUGUGUGUGUGUGUGUGUGUGUGUGCAAACUUAAACAGCACCCAGGUUACUUGAAAGCUUUUAUCUAGUCGUUGAGGAUGCAGGUUGAGGUGGAUGAGCGUGUCUCUCUGCUUAUAAAACAACACUGGAGGUUGGAGGUUGUGGUCGAGCACCAGAACACAAACCCAAGAUUCCUCCACCUCCUCCUCCACCUCCUCCUCCUCCGGGUUUUAAUACAGCUUCCAUUUGGGGCUGCUCCCUCAGGCCUUUUCGUGGGGCCGGAGAUUAGCUUUGUGCUAUCUCACUCUCAUAGCCUCAAUUCGUGGUGGGGGGGCUGCUGUGAUUGCAGCCAAAUAUGCCAUUGUCUGCAUUCGCUCUGAACUUACAGCCAAGAGGGGAAAUGUUCCUCAUAUCAGCGGGUAAUUAUCUAAAGAGUCUGACUCAGCAAAAAGGCCGAUUUUAAUUCAAUCUCUUCCAGCCUCUCAGCUCCCACCAGAUGGAUUUUAUGUCUUACGUCGGGUUAUUCUUGUUGGCAUGUUCUUCACAACAGUGACUGAUAGCCUACCUGGAUCUAGCUACAAAGCAUGCUUAAGAAAUCUCCCCCUGAGAGAGAUUGGAGGGAAGACGGUGUGUGUCCGUGUGUGUGUGUGCACGUAUGUGUGUGUGUGUGUGGGGAGAUUGCAGCUGCUUCCAGGGAGAGGUGCAGGCAGAGCUUAUUCAAACAGCCAUAGAUUUACUUUUCCGAGCCGUGCCGGGCUUAUCUUGUCCUCCCGAGUUAGUUUAGCAAGUGCAGACUCAGCGUAAGACCUCUGCUUUUCCUGCUGCUAAGUUCUCGUUAAUAUGUCAUGGGCCGGAGUGUAAGCAGCUACGGAGAGAUACUGUAGCAUCGCCUCGCUCUCUUCUGCUUAAUAAUACAAGAGGACACACUGGUAGCACACCGUAGAUUAGCUUGCAGGAGGGAAACAAAGACUUCUUUACAUUUCGCACAGUUGGCGAGGGGUCAAAUCAAGAGCACAUCCCUCAUUUGAUGUUGAACACAGUGAUCAAAGUGAUUGAAAUCAGUCCAAGAAGAGGGAGGGGAGGAGGUUUGAUCUCCACUAUCCACAUCUUUAACUGUAGCUGCUGCUGCUGCUGCUGCACCGAUCCAAGAGCAAGAGAGUGAUAAACAAACGUGUGCACUGUUUCCCAAAACAGACCGGUGCUUCAAUUCCCCAAAGACCUCCCUGUGUUCCUUUUUUUCUCCCCCCGCUUACAAAGCCUCGUGCCGGAGAUGGAGAAGUGUUUUCCGCAGCGUACAGAGCCCAGGUUCCAGCUCCACUCUCCUCUCGGCAGACGCCAUCUGCUCACUGGGGAGGUUUUCCAAACAAUCCCGUAGUAAAGACAGGGGGAAUGAAACGUGGCUACACUUCAAACACACGCUUUUUUUUUCUUCUUCUUCUUCUUAGAAAUGAAAAGGAGACCCUUAAUCUUAAAGACAGGUAACGAGGCUGUAACAGAAAAACACAUGACGAUGCAGAAAUGAUGCCCUCACAUUCUCACGUGUCUGUGUUUGUACGAUUAUUUCAAAAUGACCGAAAACAUGUAAACUAAAGAUUCCUAUUGGUAGGAGCUCAAAGCAGCUGACUAAAGGACCACUGUACCCUCAUCAAAACCACAUCUAGGAUGGUGCAAAAUAGAGAAAGUCUGACUAAUCCAACGGGACGAUAAAUAACAUUUUAGACAAAUUAGCAUUGGUCGAUAUAUGAGCUAAUAAGGGGAAAGAAAUUUAGCUUAAUGAACAAACAUGGUCUGCAGACACUGCAGGCAGCCUCGACUUUGGAGCUGCAACAUCAACAUCUCUUCAUGACAACACCUUAAAGGGAUAUUCUGUCAUGAAAUUGAUUUAGGGUCAAACAUUUAUCAUCAUUUCUUUAUCAUUUCCUUGAAGUAAUAAUUGUCAUAGUAAUCAUUUUACAGACGUGGUAGUUCUUCUGCCUUAGCGUCUCGGUCUGAUUGCAUUUCCAUGAAGAAAUUAUCAUAAAUGUUCUUCCUUGAGCUGUGAAACCCCGCUGUAGUCCAUAAUGGACUGGCCCAAACAAGCGUCUGCUGGAAGAGAGUAGGUGAGUUGUGUUUAGUCUCUUUGCUAAAGAAA